Non-coding RNA from Paramuricea clavata, 836 nucleotides. The record is from the annotation of a GenBank genome assembly. NCBI's taxonomy places the organism in Eukaryota, Metazoa, Cnidaria, Anthozoa, Malacalcyonacea, Plexauridae.
CUAUUGUUUAUACACGGAACAAUUUUUAAUGCAAAUCGUUGUGCCGGAAAAUUAAAAUUCCAGACGUCCUCUAUGUUAAAAACGACGUGACGUAAGCAUUUCUAAGAUCUAUUUAACUUAGAAUUGAUGUACAAUGUUCAUUACGGUCUUUAUGAUUUUCAAGUUUUGUGAAUACAUGAUCGCGUAAGCAGUUUUGCUUAAAAUGUCUACAUUUUGAUUCACUAAAUGUAAGAUAGUGCUCAACUAUCUAAACCUAUUAAACAGUAGGUUGGCUUACCUCAAAAUCUAGAGUAGCCUUAAUUCUCUGGCCUGGAAACCCAACCCGAAAUUACUGGUAGCUAAACCUGUCUCACAGAAUCUAGACCUUACAGAAGGCCAAAAAACCACCGCCACGCCACGUCAUGACGGUCAUCAAAAUGCACUCGCCAUGUUCCUAGCCAGUGCGCUUACGAGAGGCAUUCACCCCCUGACCAUCUGCCAUUUUGAACAUUUUCAACGGUUACGGCAAAAUAUUACCAGCGAAAUAUAGGUAAAAGCCUGAAGUCGGCCUUCUGUAAGUUCUCUAUUUUAUUGGUAGCCAGCCUAUACCAUAUUUGCACUAUCAUGAUUUAGUUAUUUAUUUAUUUACACAUUGCCUCUUAGGCUUGAAGCCCACAACAGCUUAUAAGGCCAGUUACUGCGGAUCCAUUGCAUAUAUCCAGUGGCGCCGUGGCCGGGGGGGGGCCAGGGGGGGCCAUGGCCCCCCCUACCGUGAAGACCCGUCGGAAAAUUGUGAAUGUUGUCGGAAAUUUUUGAAAAAUUGACAACGUUGUCGGAAAUUGGCAAAAUUUCCGACG